RNAcentral lists this ribosomal RNA (2520 nucleotides) under Escherichia coli. Its description in RNAcentral is "partial 23S ribosomal RNA". It matches the Rfam family "Bacterial large subunit ribosomal RNA", at positions 415 to 2915 of the family's 2925-position model. The record is from RNAcentral. Lineage: Bacteria; Pseudomonadati; Pseudomonadota; Gammaproteobacteria; Enterobacterales; Enterobacteriaceae.
GGGCGGGACACGUGGUAUCCUGUCUGAAUAUGGGGGGACCAUCCUCCAAGGCUAAAUACUCCUGACUGACCGAUAGUGAACCAGUACCGUGAGGGAAAGGCGAAAAGAACCCCGGCGAGGGGAGUGAAAAAGAACCUGAAACCGUGUACGUACAAGCAGUGGGAGCACGCUUAGGCGUGUGACUGCGUACCUUUUGUAUAAUGGGUCAGCGACUUAUAUUCUGUAGCAAGGUUAACCGAAUAGGGGAGCCGAAGGGAAACCGAGUCUUAACUGGGCGUUAAGUUGCAGGGUAUAGACCCGAAACCCGGUGAUCUAGCCAUGGGCAGGUUGAAGGUUGGGUAACACUAACUGGAGGACCGAACCGACUAAUGUUGAAAAAUUAGCGGAUGACUUGUGGCUGGGGGUGAAAGGCCAAUCAAACCGGGAGAUAGCUGGUUCUCCCCGAAAGCUAUUUAGGUAGCGCCUCGUGAAUUCAUCUCCGGGGGUAGAGCACUGUUUCGGCAAGGGGGUCAUCCCGACUUACCAACCCGAUGCAAACUGCGAAUACCGGAGAAUGUUAUCACGGGAGACACACGGCGGGUGCUAACGUCCGUCGUGAAGAGGGAAACAACCCAGACCGCCAGCUAAGGUCCCAAAGUCAUGGUUAAGUGGGAAACGAUGUGGGAAGGCCCAGACAGCCAGGAUGUUGGCUUAGAAGCAGCCAUCAUUUAAAGAAAGCGUAAUAGCUCACUGGUCGAGUCGGCCUGCGCGGAAGAUGUAACGGGGCUAAACCAUGCACCGAAGCUGCGGCAGCGACACUAUGUGUUGUUGGGUAGGGGAGCGUUCUGUAAGCCUGUGAAGGUGUACUGUGAGGUAUGCUGGAGGUAUCAGAAGUGCGAAUGCUGACAUAAGUAACGAUAAAGCGGGUGAAAAGCCCGCUCGCCGGAAGACCAAGGGUUCCUGUCCAACGUUAAUCGGGGCAGGGUGAGUCGACCCCUAAGGCGAGGCCGAAAGGCGUAGUCGAUGGGAAACAGGUUAAUAUUCCUGUACUUGGUGUUACUGCGAAGGGGGGACGGAGAAGGCUAUGUUGGCCGGGCGACGGUUGUCCCGGUUUAAGCGUGUAGGCUGGUUUUCCAGGCAAAUCCGGAAAAUCAAGGCUGAGGCGUGAUGACGAGGCACUACGGUGCUGAAGCAACAAAUGCCCUGCUUCCAGGAAAAGCCUCUAAGCAUCAGGUAACAUCAAAUCGUACCCCAAACCGACACAGGUGGUCAGGUAGAGAAUACCAAGGCGCUUGAGAGAACUCGGGUGAAGGAACUAGGCAAAAUGGUGCCGUAACUUCGGGAGAAGGCACGCUGAUAUGUAGGUGAAGUCCCUCGCGGAUGGAGCUGAAAUCAGUCGAAGAUACCAGCUGGCUGCAACUGUUUAUUAAAAACACAGCACUGUGCAAACACGAAAGUGGACGUAUACGGUGUGACGCCUGCCCGGUGCCGGAAGGUUAAUUGAUGGGGUCAGCGCAAGCGAAGCUCUUGAUCGAAGCCCCGGUAAACGGCGGCCGUAACUAUAACGGUCCUAAGGUAGCGAAAUUCCUUGUCGGGUAAGUUCCGACCUGCACGAAUGGCGUAAUGAUGGCCAGGCUGUCUCCACCCGAGACUCAGUGAAAUUGAACUCGCUGUGAAGAUGCAGUGUACCCGCGGCAAGACGGAAAGACCCCGUGAACCUUUACUAUAGCUUGACACUGAACAUUGAGCCUUGAUGUGUAGGAUAGGUGGGAGGCUUUGAAGUGUGGACGCCAGUCUGCAUGGAGCCGACCUUGAAAUACCACCCUUUAAUGUUUGAUGUUCUAACGUGGACCCGUAAUCCGGGUUGCGGACAGUGUCUGGUGGGUAGUUUGACUGGGGCGGUCUCCUCCUAAAGAGUAACGGAGGAGCACGAAGGUUGGCUAAUCCUGGUCGGACAUCAGGAGGUUAGUGCAAUGGCAUAAGCCAGCUUGACUGCGAGCGUGACGGCGCGAGCAGGUGCGAAAGCAGGUCAUAGUGAUCCGGUGGUUCUGAAUGGAAGGGCCAUCGCUCAACGGAUAAAAGGUACUCCGGGGAUAACAGGCUGAUACCGCCCAAGAGUUCAUAUCGACGGCGGUGUUUGGCACCUCGAUGUCGGCUCAUCACAUCCUGGGGCUGAAGUAGGUCCCAAGGGUAUGGCUGUUCGCCAUUUAAAGUGGUACGCGAGCUGGGUUUAGAACGUCGUGAGACAGUUCGGUCCCUAUCUGCCGUGGGCGCUGGAGAACUGAGGGGGGCUGCUCCUAGUACGAGAGGACCGGAGUGGACGCAUCACUGGUGUUCGGGUUGUCAUGCCAAUGGCACUGCCCGGUAGCUAAAUGCGGAAGAGAUAAGUGCUGAAAGCAUCUAAGCACGAAACUUGCCCCGAGAUGAGUUCUCCCUGACUCCUUGAGAGUCCUGAAGGAACGUUGAAGACGACGACGUUGAUAGGCCGGGUGUGUAAGCGCAGCGAUGCGUUGAGCUAACCGGUACUAAUGAACCGUGAGG